AUUGAACGCUGGCGGCAGGCCUAACACAUGCAAGUCGAACGAGUGGCGGACGGGUGAGUAAUGUCUGGGAAACUGCCUGAUGGAGGGGGAUAACUACUGGAAAAAGUAGCUAAUACCGCAUACCAUCGGAUGUGCCCAGAUGGGAUUAGCUAGUAGGUGGGGUAACGUCUCACCUAGGCGACGAUCCCUAGCUGGUCUGAGAGGAUGACCAGCCACACUGGAACUGAGACACGGUCCAGACUCCGACGGGAGGCAGCAGUGGGGAAUAUUGCACAAUGGGCGCAAGCCGGAUGCAGCCAUGCCGCGUGUAUGAAGAAGGCCUUCGGGUUGUAAAGUACUUUCAGCGGGGAGGCGUUACUCGCAGAAGAAGCACCGGCUAACUCCGGGCCAGCAGCCGCGGUAAUUC
This 406-nucleotide ribosomal RNA is filed under the name uncultured bacterium. Its description in RNAcentral is "partial 16S ribosomal RNA". It matches the Rfam family "Bacterial small subunit ribosomal RNA", at positions 30 to 526 of the family's 1533-position model. The record is from RNAcentral.